UACGGGGGGGAGCAAGCGUUGUUCGGAUUUACUGGGCGUAAAGGGCGCGUAGGCGGCCACCGCAAGUCAGUUGUGAAAUCUCUGGGCUUAACCCAGAAAGGUCAACUGAUACUGCGGGGCUAGAGUGCAGAAGGGGCAACUGGAAUUCUCGGUGUAGCGGUGAAAUGCGUAGAUAUCGAGAGGAACACCUGCGGCGAAGGCGGGUUGCUGGGCUGACACGUGACGCUGAAGCGCGAAAGCUAGGGGAGCGAACGGG
RNAcentral lists this ribosomal RNA (256 nucleotides) under uncultured bacterium. RNAcentral describes it as "partial 16S ribosomal RNA". It matches the Rfam family "Bacterial small subunit ribosomal RNA", at positions 524 to 776 of the family's 1533-position model. The record is from RNAcentral.